RNAcentral lists this ribosomal RNA (357 nucleotides) under uncultured Glomeraceae. RNAcentral's name for it is "SSU rRNA". It matches the Rfam family "Eukaryotic small subunit ribosomal RNA", at positions 569 to 929 of the family's 1831-position model. The record is from RNAcentral. Lineage: Eukaryota; Fungi; Glomeromycota; Glomeromycetes; Glomerales; Glomeraceae.
AGCAGCCGCGGUAAUUCCAGCUCCAAUAGCGUAUAUUAAAGUUGUUGCAGUUAAAAAGCUCGUAGUUGAAUUUCGGGGUCAGUAGAUUGGUCGUGCCACUGGUAUGUACUGGUCUUACUGGCUCCUCCUUCCUGAUGAACUGUAAUGCCAUUAAUUUGGUGUGGCGGGGAAUCAGGACUGUUACUUUGAAAAAAUUAGAGUGUUUAAAGCAGGCUCGCGCUUGAAUACAUUAGCAUGGAAUAAUAGAAUAGGACGGUUUGGUUCUAUUUUGUUGGUUUCUAGGAUCACCGUAAUGAUUAAUAGGGAUAGUUGGGGGCAUUAGUAUUCAAUUGUCAGAGGUGAAAUUCUUGGAUUUAU